This 324-nucleotide ribosomal RNA is filed under the name uncultured bacterium. Its description in RNAcentral is "bacterial SSU rRNA". It matches the Rfam family "Bacterial small subunit ribosomal RNA", at positions 28 to 334 of the family's 1533-position model. The record is from RNAcentral.
GAUGAACGCUGGCGGCGUGCUUAACACAUGCAAGUCGAACGAAGCACUUUACUUGAUUUCUUCGGAAUGAUUGUUCUGUGACUGAGUGGCGGACGGGUGAGUAACGCGUGGGUAACCUGCCUCAUACAGGGGGAUAACAGUUAGAAAUGACUGCUAAUACCGCAUAAGCGCACGGUAUCGCAUGAUACAGUGUGAAAAACUCCGGUGGUAUGAGAUGGACCCGCGUCUGAUUAGCUAGUUGGUGAGGUAACGGCCCACCAAGGCGACGAUCAGUAGCCGACCUGAGAGGGUGACCGGCCACAUUGGGACUGAGACACGGCCCAA